CCGUGACCCUUAAACAAAACAGACCGCGAACGAGUCACCCGUGCCGCUGGGCUCCGGCCCGGCACGCUGCCCCCCCGAACCUCCCGCGGGGAAGGGGGGGCUGCGAAAAAGAACCCACGGCGCCCCGGGCGCCAAGGAACACCAGUACUACCUCCUGCCCCGCGGAGCGGUCGGCCCGCCUUCCGCCCCCAGGGCAGCGGUUACACCUUAAUCGACACGACUCUCGGCAACGGAUAUCUCGGCUCUCGCAUCGAUGAAGAACGUAGCAAAAUGCGAUACCUGGUGUGAAUUGCAGAAUCCCGCGAACCAUCGAGUUUUUGAACGCAAGUUGCGCCCGAAGCCUUCUGGCGGAGGGCACGUCUGCCUGGGCGUCACGCCAAAAGACACUCCCAACACCCCCCCGCGGGGCGAGGGACGUGGCGUCUGGCCCCCCGCGCCGCACGGCGAGGUGGGCCGAAGCAGGGGCUGCCGGCGAACCGCGCCGGGCGCAGCACGUGGUGGGCGACAUCAAGUUGUUGUUCCCGGUGCAGCGUCCCGGCGCGCGGCCGGCCAUUCGGCCCUAAGGACCCAUCGAGCGGCCGAGCUUGCCCUCGGACC
This 597-nucleotide ribosomal RNA is filed under the name Zea mays. RNAcentral describes it as "ITS1, 5.8S ribosomal RNA, ITS2". The stretch from base 219 to 374 matches the Rfam family "5.8S ribosomal RNA". The record is from RNAcentral. Lineage: Eukaryota; Viridiplantae; Streptophyta; Magnoliopsida; Poales; Poaceae.